This 72-nucleotide transfer RNA is filed under the name Camelus bactrianus (Bactrian camel). It matches the Rfam family "tRNA". Rfam says of the family: Transfer RNA (tRNA) molecules are approximately 80 nucleotides in length. Their secondary structure includes four short double-helical elements and three loops (D, anti-codon, and T loops). The record is from Rfam by way of RNAcentral. RNAcentral also lists the same sequence under 2 other names. Lineage: Eukaryota; Metazoa; Chordata; Mammalia; Artiodactyla; Camelidae.
GAGGAUGUAGCUCAGUGGCAGAGCACAUGCUUAGCAUGCAUGAGGUCCUGAGUUCAAUCCCCAGUACCUCCA